RNAcentral lists this ribosomal RNA (281 nucleotides) under uncultured bacterium. Its description in RNAcentral is "partial 16S ribosomal RNA". It matches the Rfam family "Bacterial small subunit ribosomal RNA", at positions 780 to 1058 of the family's 1533-position model. The record is from RNAcentral.
AGAUACCCGGGUAGUCCACGCCGUAAACGAUGAUAACUAGCUGUCCGGGCUCAUAGAGCUUGGGUGGCGCAGCUAACGCAUUAAGUUAUCCGCCUGGGGAGUACGGUCGCAGGAUUAAAACUCAAAGGAAUUGACGGGGGCCUGCACAAGCGGUGGAGCAUGUGGUUUAAUUCGAAGCAACGCGCAGAACCUUACCAGCCUUUGACAUCCUAGGACGGUUUCUGGAGACAGAUUCUUUCCCUUCGGGGACCUAGUGACAGGUGCUGCAUGGCUGCCGUCAG